Molecule: ribosomal RNA, 253 nt
Filed under: uncultured bacterium
Lineage: Bacteria
Description: partial 16S ribosomal RNA
Rfam family: Bacterial small subunit ribosomal RNA
Source: RNAcentral
UACAGAGGUCUCAAGCGUUGUUCGGAAUCACUGGGCGUAAAGCGAACGUAGGCGGUGUUCCAUGUCAGAGGUGAAAGCCUGGGGCUCAACUCCAGAAUUGCCUUUGAAACGGGGACGCUUGAGUCCGAGAGAGGGUGGCGGAAUUCCUAGUGUAGAGGUGAAAUUCGUAGAUAUUAGGAAGAACACCAGUGGCGAAGGCGGCCACCUGGCUCGGUACUGACGCUCAGGUUCGAAAGCGUGGGGAGCAAACAGG